Molecule: ribosomal RNA, 325 nt
Filed under: uncultured eukaryote
Lineage: Eukaryota
Description: partial 18S ribosomal RNA
Rfam family: Eukaryotic small subunit ribosomal RNA
Source: RNAcentral
CCCUUAGAUGUUCUGGGCCGCACGCGCGCUACACUGAUGCAUUCAACGAGCCUAUCCUUGACCGACAGGUCCGGGUAAUCUUUGAAUCUGCAUCGUGACGGGGAUAGAUUAUUGCAAUUAUUAAUCUUCAACGAGGAAUGCCUAGUAGGCGCAAGUCAUCAGCUUGCGUCGAUUACGUCCCUGCCCUUUGUACACACCGCCCGUCGCUCCUACCGAUUGGGUGUGCUGGUGAAAUGUUCGGAUCGGCCGUUUGUCGCGGUUUCCGCGGCUCGUGGCUGAGAAGUUCAUUAAACCCUCCCACCUAGAGGAAGGAGAAGUUGUAACA